Molecule: ribosomal RNA, 253 nt
Filed under: uncultured bacterium
Lineage: Bacteria
Description: partial 16S ribosomal RNA
Rfam family: Bacterial small subunit ribosomal RNA
Source: RNAcentral
UACGUAGGUGGCGAGCGUUGUCCGGAUUUACUGGGCGUAAAGGGCGUGCAGGCGGUUUGUUAAGUGCAGGGUGAAAGCUCCCGGCUCAACUGGGAGAGGUCCUUGCAUACUGGCGAACUCGAGGGAGGCAGAGGAAAGUGGAAUUCCCGGUGUAGUGGUGAUAUGCGUAGAUAUCGUAAGGAAGACCAGUGGCGAAGGCGAGUCUCUGGACAGUUACUGACGCUGAGGCACGAAGGCCAGGGGAGCAAACGGG